UGGGGAAUAUUGCGCAAUGGGCGAAAGCCUGACGCAGCGACGCCGCGUGAGGGAUGAAGGUCCUCGGAUCGUAAACCUCUGUCAGGGGGGAAGAAGCGCCUGUGAGCAAAUAGUUCAUGGGUUUGACGGUACCCAAGCAAGAACCGGCUAACUCCGUGCCAGCAGCCGCGGUAAUACGGAGGGUGCGAGCGUUAAUCGGAAUCACUGGGCGUAAAGCGCACGUAGGUGGCGUGGUAAGUCGGGGCUGAAUCCACAGCUCAACUGUGGAACUGCCUUCGAUACUGUCAUGCUUGAGUAUCGGAGAGGGUGGCGGAAUUCCAGGUGUAGGAGUGAAAUCCGUAGAUAUCUGGAAGAACACCGGUGCGAAGGCGGCCACCUGGACGAAAACUGACGCUGAGGUGCGAAAGCGUGGGGUAGCAAACAGGAUUAGAUACC
This 435-nucleotide ribosomal RNA is filed under the name uncultured bacterium. Its description in RNAcentral is "bacterial SSU rRNA". It matches the Rfam family "Bacterial small subunit ribosomal RNA", at positions 355 to 786 of the family's 1533-position model. The record is from RNAcentral.